GGGCUGCAGUAAGGAAUCUUCCGCAAUGGGCGAAAGCCUGACGGAGCAAUACCGCGUGAACGAUGAAGGUCGAAAGAUUGUAAAGUUCUUUUCUGAGGGAAGAAUUCUGACGGUACCUUAGGAAUAAGCACCGGCUAACUACGUGCCAGCAGCCGCGGUAAUACGUAGGGUGCAAGCGUUACCCGGAAUCAUUGGGCGUAAAGCGUCCGCAGGCGGCGAAUUAAGUCGAAUAUUAAAUCUUGAAGCCCAACUUCAAGGCCGUAUUCGAAACUAAUUUGCUAGAGUUUUCCAGAGGCAUGUGGAAUUCUGUGUGUAGGGGUAAAAUCCGUAGAUACACAGAAGAACACCAAAAGCGAAGGCAGCAUGCUGGGGAAAUACUGACGCUCAUGGACGAAAGCGUGGGGAGCAAACGGGAUUAGAUACCCGAGUAGUC
Molecule: ribosomal RNA, 433 nt
Filed under: uncultured microorganism
Description: bacterial SSU rRNA
Rfam family: Bacterial small subunit ribosomal RNA
Source: RNAcentral